CCUACGGGAGGCAGCAGUGGGGAAUUUUGGACAAUGGGCGCAAGCCUGAUCCAGCUAUUCCGCGUGUGGGAAGACGGCCUUCGGGUUGUAAACCACUUUUGUAGAGAACGAAAAGUCUAUUGAUAAUACCGAUAGAUGAUGACGGUACUCUAAGAAUAAGCACCGGCUAACUACGUGCCAGCAGCCGCGGUAAUACGUAGGGUGCGAGCGUUAAUCGGAAUUACUGGGCGUAAAGGGUGUGCAGGCGGUUUUGUAAGAUGGAUGUGAAAGCCCCGGGCUUAACCUGGGAAAGCCAUACAUGACUGCAAGACUAGAGUGCGUCAGAGGGGGGUGGAAUUCCAAGUGUAGCAGUGAAAUGCGUAGAUAUUUGGAAGAACACCGAUGGCGAAGGCAGCCCCCUGGGACGCAACUGACGCUCGUACACGAAAGCGUGGGGAGCAAACAGGAUUAGAUACCCCUGUAGUC
Molecule: ribosomal RNA, 465 nt
Filed under: uncultured bacterium
Lineage: Bacteria
Description: partial 16S ribosomal RNA
Rfam family: Bacterial small subunit ribosomal RNA
Source: RNAcentral